UAAGCGGAGGAAANGAAACUAACAAGGAUUCCCCUAGUAACUGCGAGUGAAGCGGGAAAAGCUCAAAUUUAAANUCUGGCGGUCUUUGGCCGUCCGAGUUGUAAUUUAGAGAAGCGUCUUCCGCGCCGACCGUGCACAAGUCUCCUGGAAUGGAGCGUCAUAGAGGGUGAGAAUCCCGUCUUUGGCACGGAUGCCCGGUGCUUCUGUGAUGCGCUCUCGAAGAGUCGAGUUGUUUGGGAAUGCAGCUCAAAAUGGGUGGUGAACUCCAUCUAAAGCUAAAUAUUGGCGAGAGACCGAUAGCGAACAAGUACCGUGAGGGAAAGAUGAAAGGCACUUUGGAAAGAGAGUGAAACAGUACGUGAAAUUGUUGAAAGGGAAACGCUUGAAGUCAGUCGCGUCGACCGAGACUCAGCCUUGCCUCGGCUUGGUGUACUUCUCGGCCCGACGGGUCAGCGUCAAUUUUGCUCCUCGGAUAAUGGCAAGGGAAAGGUGGCACCUUUACGGGUGUGUUAUAGUCUCCUGUCGCAUGCGAGGGUUGGGAUUGAGGAACUCAGCGCGCACCUUGGUGUCGGGGCUUCGGCCCACGUCACGCGCUUAGGAUGCUGGCGUAAUGGCUUUAAACGACC
This 626-nucleotide ribosomal RNA is filed under the name uncultured Russulaceae. Its description in RNAcentral is "LSU rRNA". It matches the Rfam family "Eukaryotic large subunit ribosomal RNA", at positions 47 to 649 of the family's 3401-position model. The record is from RNAcentral. Lineage: Eukaryota; Fungi; Basidiomycota; Agaricomycetes; Russulales; Russulaceae.